Molecule: ribosomal RNA, 182 nt
Filed under: Clostridioides difficile
Lineage: Bacteria; Bacillati; Bacillota; Clostridia; Peptostreptococcales; Peptostreptococcaceae
Description: partial 16S ribosomal RNA
Source: RNAcentral
AUAUUUCACCCUGGGGGGAAGCCUGAUGCGGCAACGCCGCGUGACUGGAUAAAGGCGUCGGGGAGUACCACACUGUCCUCAAGGAAGGGACUGCCCGGCAAUGGGGCGGGAGGCCCGCCUCCCCACAUGCCAGCAGCCGCGGGAAGACAUAGGAGGCGGCCGGCAUACGGAUUCCGCGGGCG